GAUGAACGCUGGCGGCGUGCCUAAUACAUGCAAGUCGAGCGAACGGACGAGAAGCUUGCUUCUCUGAUGUUAGCGGCGGACGGGUGAGUAACACGUGGAUAACCUACCUAUAAGACUGGGAUAACUUCGGGAAACCGGAGCUAAUACCGGAUAAUAUUUUGAACCGCAUGGUUCAAAAGUGAAAGACGGUCUUGCUGUCACUUAUAGAUGGAUCCGCGCUGCAUUAGCUAGUUGGUAAGGUAACGGCUUACCAAGGCAACGAUGCAUAGCCGACCUGAGAGGGUGGUCGGCCACACCGGAACUGAGAACCGGUCCCGACCUCUCAGGGGGGAAGGCGUAGGGAAUUCUCCGGAAAGGGGGAAAGCCUGACGGAGCAAACCCCGGGGAGUGAUGAAGGGUUUCGGAUCCGAAAACUCCUUUUUUAGGGAAAAACAAAUGUGUAAGUAACUUUGCACCUCUUGACGGUACCUAAUCAAAAAGCCCCGGCUAACUACGUG
Molecule: ribosomal RNA, 497 nt
Filed under: uncultured bacterium
Lineage: Bacteria
Description: partial 16S ribosomal RNA
Rfam family: Bacterial small subunit ribosomal RNA
Source: RNAcentral